GGACCCGCACAAGCGGUGGAGCAUGUGGUUUAAUUCGAUGAUACGCGAGGAACCUUACCAGGGCUUAAAUGUAACGGGACAGAUCUAGAGAUAGAUCCUUCUUCGGACUCAUUACAAGGUGCUGCAUGGUUGUCGUCAGCUCGUGCCGUGAGGUGUCAGGUUAAGUCCUAUAACGAGCGCAACCCCCAUCGUUAGUUGCCAACGAGUAAUGUCGGGAACUCUAACGAAACUGCCGGUGCAAAACCGUGAGGAAGGUGGGGGAUGACGUCAAAUCAUCACGGCCCUUACGUCCUGGGCUACACACGUGCUACAAUGGUCGGUACAGAGAGCAGCCACUACGCGAGUA
This 346-nucleotide ribosomal RNA is filed under the name uncultured bacterium. RNAcentral's name for it is "bacterial SSU rRNA". It matches the Rfam family "Bacterial small subunit ribosomal RNA", at positions 917 to 1263 of the family's 1533-position model. The record is from RNAcentral.